GGCCCCGUGGCGGAAUUGGUAGACGCAACGGACUUAAAAUCCGUAGUUCCGAAAGGAACGUGCCCGUUCGAGUCGGGCCGGGGCCACCA
RNAcentral lists this transfer RNA (89 nucleotides) under Alphaproteobacteria bacterium. Its description in RNAcentral is "tRNA-Leu". It matches the Rfam family "tRNA". From Rfam's summary of the family: Transfer RNA (tRNA) molecules are approximately 80 nucleotides in length. Their secondary structure includes four short double-helical elements and three loops (D, anti-codon, and T loops). Further hydrogen bonds mediate the characteristic L-shaped molecular structure. tRNAs have two regions of fundamental functional importance: the anti-codon, which is responsible for specific mRNA codon recognition, and the 3' end, to which the tRNAs corresponding amino acid is attached (by aminoacyl-tRNA synthetases). tRNAs cope with the degeneracy of the genetic code in two manners: having more than one tRNA (with a specific anti-codon) for a particular amino acid; and 'wobble' base-pairing, i.e. permitting non-standard base-pairing at the 3rd anti-codon position. The record is from RNAcentral. Lineage: Bacteria; Pseudomonadati; Pseudomonadota; Alphaproteobacteria.